Molecule: non-coding RNA, 204 nt
Organism: Oryza brachyantha (malo sina)
Lineage: Eukaryota; Viridiplantae; Streptophyta; Magnoliopsida; Poales; Poaceae
Source: Rfam
AAUAAGAUCAUUUUUCAGUUUUUUGAUACAAUGUUUUGACUCUACGUCUUAUUUGAAAUUUUUUUGUGAUUAAUAUUUUUAUUUUUACUAAAUGAUAAAACAUGAAUAGUACUUUAUAGACUAAUUUUUUAAGUUUUUAUAUAAAUUUUUCAAAUAAGACGAAUGGUCAAACAUUGGACAUGAAAAACGAAAAAUUAGGUUAUU